CCUACGGGGUGCAGCAGUGGGGGAUAUUGCACAAUGGGGGGAACCCUGAUGCAGCGACGCCGCGUGGGUGAAGGAGUAUUUCGGUAUGUAAAGCCCUAUCGGCAGGGAAGAAAUUGGACGGUACCUGACUAAGAAGCCCCGGCUAACUACGUGCCAGCAGCCGCGGUAAUACGUAGGGGGCAAGCGUUAUCCGGAUUCACUGGGUGUAAAGGGAGCGUAGACGGCCAUGCAAGCCAGGGGUGAAAGCCGGGGGCCCAACCCCGGGACUGCCCUUGGAACUGCAUGGCUGGAGUGCGGGAGGGGCAGGCGGAAUGCCUGGUGUAGCGGUGAAAUGCGUAGAUAUCAGGAGGAACACCGGCGGCGAAGGCGGCCUGCUGGACCGCGACUGACGUUGAGGCUCGAAAGCGUGGGGAGCGAACAGGAUUAGAUACCCGAGUAGUC
This 441-nucleotide ribosomal RNA is filed under the name uncultured bacterium. Its description in RNAcentral is "partial 16S ribosomal RNA". It matches the Rfam family "Bacterial small subunit ribosomal RNA", at positions 338 to 795 of the family's 1533-position model. The record is from RNAcentral.